RNA transcript from Lytechinus variegatus (green sea urchin), 7735 nucleotides. RefSeq lists it as uncharacterized. The transcript is spliced from 2 exons. NCBI's taxonomy places the organism in Eukaryota, Metazoa, Echinodermata, Echinoidea, Temnopleuroida, Toxopneustidae. The record is from RefSeq and is a predicted model, not a curated record.
UGUAGCGGCAUACUAUGCAUUAUAUAGUAUGGGAGUUAGAAUUAGGACACUAUUGUUCUAAGCACAGCAUAGAGGCAUGUGUAUUAUAUGCAUACUCCAAAUUCCUGCACUCCAAUGUUUACCAGUGUCUAAUCAGGUAUAAAUAUGUUUAGGUAGUGAUAAAUCCAAUGACCAACGCAGUGACCAAAGGGGGGUAACUUUCCCAUAAUUCUCUUUGUGUGGAAGAAGAUGCAUUCAUACUGGGUUCAAGCAGGAGCAUUUUCAUUGUGUUCGAAGUCACUCUUAAGAGGAGAGGUUGGACUAAGAAAGAGAGAGCAAUCCUGAUUAAGCUGUUGUUAAUAGGGUUCUAACAGUUGGUGAGUUAUAUCAAUUUAUCUUUAAGUAUAAGAAUUGUUUCAGCAGUAAUAAUUAUUGUUUAUCAGAACUACUAUAGAGUAUAAUUGAAUACUUUUCUCAUUUGAUAUUGAGUUAUAAUAAUUCCAUUAUGCAUAUUAUGGAUUCUUUACUUGACAAUUAUAUAUAGUACAAUGUAUAGUCAUACGGUUUGAGUUUAUUGAUAUUCGUACAUAAUUAUGUUUCCAAAUUUUAGACAGAGAUACGAAUAAUUCAGAUUUCACUUAGUUAUGUUGAUAACAGUCAACUACAUUAAUUGCAUUGGUAUGAGUUGUAUAUAAAUUGUAUAUAAUUGUUUACUCUGAUAUUUACGUAGUUGUUCAUAAUUAAGUGCUAGUGUCUUAUUUCUUGUAUUAUAUACCAUUUAUCAUUUAUGUCAUUUUCUCUAUUGUUUUCAGUCAAACCACUUACUGUGUACACUUGCUGAGUAACACUAGCUGAAUCACUUGUCGCACUACACUUCUGAAUUAGACUCGCUGUAUAACACAAUUGGUGAAAUCGUUGAGGAAGUCACAAGAGGUGACCUACUAUUAAACGUUGUAAAUACAUCGCACAUUUGGAACUGUUCAGUGUGUUUUGUAACUGUUCUCGCGUUGGCGAAUGAUUAGUGCGUUUGGCACCGAACCCCUAAUGUUGAAGGAUCAACAUUAAAGUUUGACAACUGGCACCAUGGAUCAGGUAGCAGCUCUGAAGCAAUCAUGCAAUGGUUAUCUCGGCCAAUUGGGCCGAAGAUACAAGGAGUUGGAGCAACUGAUGUUGGAUCCGGUGAAUCGUGAUCAAGUCAAAACAAAGUACUGUCAGCUGACUGACUUAUUCUCUUCCUAUGAGGGGAAGUUUGGGGAGUAUAUUUCCCUACUGAGUGGAAAGGCGGAGUCUGACGCCAACGUUGUAUUCAAUAGCCAGAAGCUGAACUUUACUGAGUUUGAAACUCGUGUUAAGGUGUGGAUGAGUGACACUGAUACUGUUAAAUCGUCGAUAUGUUCUUCUACUUCAAUGAGCAGUGAGAGGCUCCGAGAAGCAAGGCUUAAGAAGAGGUUAGCCGAACAAAGAAUGGAACAGAUGAAGGAGCAACAGAGACUUGAGCGGGCUAAGCGGGAUCUGGAUGAAAGACUCGCAACAUUGCAAAUGGAGAAUGAAAUAAAGAAUGCUGAACUUGAAGUGGAGAUAUUAGAGGAGCUUGAAUGUGAUCAAGAACUUAAUGAACCGUCUCAGAACAAUGAUGAACCUCUGGGUAACGUAGAAACCAAACAUACUAUUAAUGUUGUUGAUAGUGCAUGUAACGAUGAUGUAAUUAAUGAUGCUCCAGGUGUUGGGGUGGGAAAGAUUGGUGUGAACGCCAAUCUUAACAGUAAUACUGAGGUAGAUAAAUCUAUCCGAGGUACAGUAGAUAUGGUUAAUCCAAUGGUUGAUUUGUGUAAUAUGAUGUUAUUGUCUAUGAAUAUGCCAAAGGCAGAACUAGCUAAAUUUGACGGAGACCCAGUUAAGUACAGUGGAUUCAUUAAUAGCUUUGAUGUAAACGUAGCAUGUAAGGUUAAGGAUGACAAGACAAAAUUGAUGUAUCUGUUGCAAUAUUGUGAGGGUAAGGCGCGGGAAUGCAUCGAGUGCUGUGACCUUAUGCCUUCGGAUGAAGGAUACAAGAAAGCUAGGAGUAUCUUAGCCAGUCAGUAUGGCCAACCACAUGUAAUAUCACAAGCUAGGUUGGCGAAGGUGUUAAAUCGUUCCCCAAUAAAACCCAAUGAUGGUAACAGUUUGCGCGAGUUGGCAAGGGAAAUGAGUUCUUGCCGAAUAACGCUUGAGCAGAUGGGUCAUACUGCAAACAUGAAUGCCACAGAUAACCUGCUUAAGAUCCAGGGUAUACUCCCUAUCCAACUACAGGCUAGAUGGGCAGAGCGUGCCAAUGGUCUUCUCUUGGCCGGCGUAGAGCCAAAUUUCGCUCACCUUACUGAGUUUAUUGAAAGGCAAGCUAUGGUCGCCAAUAACCUGUUCGGAAAGAACAUAGGGCAAGGCCAUAAAGCAGUAACUGGAAAGGCACAUGCCAAGCAAGGGAGUGGGGGAAAGAAAUGGACCACCCUCUCAACCUUUGGUAAUGAGGAAGAAGGGAAAGUUAGCAAGAGGAAAUGUCCUUGUUGCUCGAAAAUCCAUGACCUGGAGACAUGUGAUGUCUUCAAGGGUAAAACUCAAAAGGAAAGGUUUAAGUUAGUGCGCCAGAGUCGUUUGUGCGACAAUUGUCUGAAGCCUUCGCAUGUGGCGAAGGAUUGCAGGCGCAAGCCCUUAUGUAACCAAAAGGACUGUAGAGGUAAGCACCAUGCCCUUCUUCACUUUCCGAGGACGGAUGCAUCGACUGGGGCCGGUGAUGACAGGAAUGACAAGGUUGGGAAUGUUUCGAACCAACCAUCAGCUACCAGUCUGGCUGCAUCUGUUAAUAAGAAGGUAUGUCUGAGAAUUAUCCCAGUAAAGGUAAGGAACCGUGGUCGAGAAGUCGAAACUUGGGCUCUGCUCGAUGGAGGAAGUGAUGUGUCACUUUGUGACAAGAGGCUCGCCCAGAAACUAGGUAUAAAGGGUGACAGGAAAAGGUUUAAUCUGUCUACCAUUAACCAGGAGAACAAGGAGAUGAGUGGUACAGAAAUCCAACUCUCAGUCUCUGGAAUUAAGGAAACUGAACACAUUGACUUAGAAGGGGUGUGGACAGUGGAGAAGUUACCGAUUUCUGCUGAUAGCAUACCUCGGCCAACUGACACUGAACGAUGGUCACAUCUCCGUGAUAUCACCAUCCCUCAAAUCGAUUCCAAUGAAGUAAUGCUCCUCAUUGGAGGGGAUACUCCAGAAGCAUUUUGGGUUAAAGAAGAUAGACAGGGUAAGAAGGGAGAACCAUAUGCUAUGCGCACAGUAUUGGGAUGGACCCUACUAGGACCAACUUCUCGACAGAAUAGACAAAGGUCAGGGUUCAAUUCCAACUUUACCCACACAAGUAUGGGCGAUGACUUGCUCCAAAGACAAGUCGAGAAGUUCUGGAAACUUGACUUUGGAGAGCACCACCUAGAGGGUGAAAGGGGGCUGUCAGUAGAAGAUCAGCGAGCUGAGGCGAUCUUCAAGGAAACCGUCAAGAAAGUCGAUGGGCACUAUGAAAUUGGACUGCCCUGGCGUCAUCCAGAUGUCAAUUUGCCGGAUGGCAAGAAGAUGGCAGAAACACGUCUGCGAUCACUACAGAGGCGCUUGGCUAAGGACCAAGUGAUGCAUAAGAAGUAUACGGAAACUGUGGAGGGUUACAUAGAGAAAGGCUAUGCACAAGAAGUGUUUGAUGUGGAUAGUACACGUCAUUCAGGAAAGACAUGGUACUUGCCUCAUCAUCCAGUUGUCCAUCCACAGAAGGGUAAGGUAAGAGUAGUCUUCGACUGUGCGGCUAGGAGCCAUGGCACAUCACUGAAUGAUCAGCUGCUCCAGGGGCCUGACUACAAUAACAACCUAGUCGGUGUCUUGACAAGGUUCAGGGAAGAGAGGGUUGCCUUGAUGGCAGACAUCGAAGCGAUGUUUCACCAGGUGAAGGUUGCACCUGAAGACAGUGAUGCCCUGCGGUUUCUCUGGUGGCCUAAUGGAGACUUGUCUAAGACACCAAGGACCUACAAGAUGUUGGUACACUUGUUUGGUGCCACUUCUUCGCCAAGUUGUGCAGCCUUUGCAUUGAGGAAGGCUGCCGAGGAAAAUGGCGGAGUGGGGCUUGAGGAAGCAACAAAGGCAGUAAAGGAUAACUUCUAUGUAGACGACUGCCUUGUGUCUGUUGCAACCAGACAAGAUGCUAUAGACCUCUCAAGAGGUCUGCGUAAGGUGCUGUCAGCUGGAGGAUUUCGACUCACGAAGUGGGUCAGUAACGACUAUGAUGUCAUUGCCAGUAUCCCUCCUUCUGAGCGAGCAGCAUCAGUAGUUGACCUCGACUUUGAGAAUCCUCCAAUGGAGCGGACUCUUGGGGUAUCUUGGAAUGUUGAAGCUGACAUCUUCACUUUCAAGGUAAAUCCAAAGGAGAAACCUCCUACAAGAAGAGGUAUUCUUUCGGUGACCAGUGCCUUAUACGAUCCUCUCGGAUUUGUAGCCCCAGUUGUGCUGGUAGCAAAGAUUCUCUUGCAGGAUGUUUGCAUAGAAGGCCUAGGAUGGGAUCAAGCUGUUGGUGAAGCUGAACAAGUUCGAUGGAGGCACUGGCAGAAUGGACUUCCGAAACUGCAAGGACUGCAGAUUCAACGGUGCCUGAAACUAAAGGCUAGUGCAGAGACAUCAAGACAAGACUUGCAUGUCUUCUGUGAUGCUUCCCAGAGAGGGUAUGCAGCAGUGGCCUAUCUCCGUACGGAGGGUGUGGAUGGAAAGGUUCACUGUGCCUUCGUUAUGGGGAAGACGAGGCUAGCACCAGUGAAGACGACUACGAUACCACGUCUUGAGCUCUCAGCAGCUGUUCUGGCAGUCUUGCUUGGCCAGACCAUCCAGAAAGAGUUGAAAUUGCCGAUAGCCACAACCACUUACUGGACAGAUUCUACGUCAGUGUUGCAGUAUAUCCAAAAUGAGAGUAGACGCUUUCAUACUUUCGUGGCUAAUCGUGUGUCUAAGAUCCGUGCUGCAACUGAUGUUGCUCAGUGGCGAUUUGUAGACACAAAAUCAAAUCCUGCAGAUGAGGGUUCUAGAGGCAUGUCUGCAAGUGAAAUGACUUCAGAAGCAAGAUGGAUUAAUGGGCCCGAUUUCCUGUGGAAGAACCAGGAUCAAUGGCCACAACCCUUGCAUCUCCCUCGAUCGAUGCAAGAACUUCAAGGAGACCCUGAAGUGAAGAAGAUGGCAAAGAGCAACUUUGUCAGUAGUGACAGGAUGAUAGAUGAUCUCCUGGAACGCUACUCAUCAUGGACGAGACUCAAGAAGGGUAUUGCCUGGAUCAGGCGAUUCUUGAGAUACCUUCGCUUGAAGAGGUUAGGAGACAAUGAGUCAUGCACCAAGGACGUGCUUUCUCCUGCAGAGCUGCAGGAGGCUGAAGCGGCUAUUGUUAAAUAUGUUCAAGCGAAGGAGUUCCCUGAUGAGCUGAAAGUUGUUCAUGGAAGUGCUCAGAAGACUUCCGGCCUUGGCUUAACGAAAGUUAAUCCCGUCAUGGUAGAUGGUGUGUUGCGUGUUGGUGGACGUCUUGCCAAUGCACCAGUACCUUACGACAGCAAACACCCAGUGAUCCUUCCAAGUGGACACCAUGUCACCAAGCUGCUCAUCAUCCAUCAUCAUAUAUUGGUUGGGCAUUGUGGUGCAGGUGCUACAUGGAACUCCUUAAGAGAGCGGUUUUGGAUCAUCAAUGGUGGAUCUUCAGUACGCAAAAUAAUCGGAAGGUGUUUCAGAUGUAAAAAAAGGAACGCUGCCAGAGGGCAACAGUUCAUGGCAUAUUUGCCUAAAGACAGAGUCACACCUGACAAGCCACCCUUUUCCAGUGUUGGCAUCGACUAUUUCGGGCCACUCUAUGUCAAGGAAGGGCGGAAAACAGUGAAGAGAUACGGAUGUAUCUUCACAUGCCUUGCAAGCAGGGCUGUACACCUUGAAGUGGCUCACACCCUCAACACUGACUCGUUUAUCAACGUGCUCAGAAGAUUCAUGAGUAGAAGAGGGAGGCCAGAGAAAAUUCGUAGUGACAACGGAAAAAACUUCAAGGGUGCCGAACGUGAGCUACGUGAGAAUCUUCACAUUUUGAAUCAGAAGAAGGUAGCAGACUUUCUGCAUCAGAGAAAUAUCGAGUGGCAGUUCAACACUCCCGCAGCAAGUCACAUGGGCGGGGUGUGGGAACGGCUUAUAAGAUCCGUGCGGAAGAUACUAAAGAGCGUUCUUGGAGAACAACUAGUGAAUGAUGAGAUCCUAGUGACAACACUAGUGGAGGUCGAAGGAAUUCUUAACUCAAGACCUUUGACUAAUAUCAGACAAGAUUCGAAUGACUUGGAGCCACUUACUCCAAAUCAUCUGCUGAUGAUGAAACAACCCCAUUGCUUGCCUCCAGGUAUCUUUACGAAGGAUGACCAAUACUGCCGUCGCAGAUGGCGACAGUGCCAAUAUUUAGCUGAUCUGUUCUGGAAACGAUGGCGUCGUGAAUAUCUACCAAUGCUACAGAACAGACAGAAAUGGCUACAUUCGAUCAGGAACUUCAAGGUUGAUGAUCUGGUCCUGAUGGUGGAUGAGACUAUGCCAAGAGGACAGUGGGCCAUUGGCAAGGUCUCGGAGGUAUACCCCGGAAGGGAUGGCAAGGUUCGCCAGGCAGAAGUAAAGGUUGGACCAAGGUUUUACAAGCGUCCUAUAACCAAGCUUUGCCUGCUUGAAAGUAGUGAGCAUAACGCUGCUCAAGAUGAAUGAGGUAUAGAGCUCAUCUGCCCUGAAUAUGCGCAGCCACCAUUCAAUUAAAAUAAUUUUUGUGUAAAUUGCAUGCAACUUGAUGCAUUUCCAACCUUCUCGUUAUCACAUAAAAAAAAUAUAUAUAUUGUCUUGUAUAAUUUGUGUUGGUUAUAAGCAGUUAGAUUACUGUGUCAAUGAUUAUUGACAUGAAAUAAUGAGUAUAAUUGUUUAACCGUAUAAUCAUUUUAUAUAUUCAUUAUGUUUAUUUGAUACGAUUCUCAUUUCCUAUUUGUUUGUUAAGUACAUUUUAUUGUUUAUAUUUAAGGUUGUUACUUAGGCAUCUUUGCCGCUAGAAAUUAGAGAAAUUUAUAGAAAUUAACAUCCUGAGGUCUGUUAAUUUGGGGCCGGUAAUGUAGCGGCAUACUAUGCAUUAUAUAGUAUGGGAGUUAGAAUUAGGACACUAUUGUUCUAAGCACAGCAUAGAGGCAUGUGUAUUAUAUGCAUACUCCAAAUUCCUGCACUCCAAUGUUUACCAGUGUCUAAUCAGGUAUAAAUAUGUUUAGGUAGUGAUAAAUCCAAUGACCAACGCAGUGACCAAAGGGGGGUAACUUUCCCAUAAUUCUCUUUGUGUGGAAGAAGAUGCAUUUAUACUGGGUUCAAGCAGGAGCAUUUUCAUUGUGUUCGAAGUCACUCUUAAGAGGAGAGGUUGGACUAAGAAAGAGAGAGCAAUCCUGAUUAAGCUGUUGUUAAUAGGGUUCUAACAGUUGUCAAACCACUUACUGUGUACACUUGCUGAGUAACACUAGCUGAAUCACUUGUCGCACUACACUUCUGAAUUAGACUCGCUGUAUAACACAAUUGGUGAAAUCGUUGAGAAGUCACAAGAGGUGACCUACUAUUAAACGUUGUAAAUACAUCGCACAUUUGGAACUGUUCAGUGUGUUUUGUAACUGUUCUCGCGUUGGCGAAUGAUUAGUGCGUUUGGCACCGAACCCCUAAUGUUGAAGGAUCAACA